AACGAACGCUGGCGGCAUGCCUAACACAUGCAAGUCGAACGAGACCUUCGGGUCUUUUGGCGCACGUGUGCGUACCGCGUGGGAACCUGCCCUUAGGUUCGCAAUAACUCCCCGAAAGGGGUUCUAAUACCGGAUAAUGUCUUCGGACCAAAGAUUUAUCGCGUUUGGUUGGGCCCGCGUUGGUUUAGCUAGUUGGUAGGGUAAAAGCCUACCAAGGCGACGAUCCAUAGCUGGUCUGAGAGGAUGAUCAGCCACACUGGGACUGAGACACGGCCCAGAAUCGUACGGGAGGCAGCAGUGGGGAAUAUUGGACAAUGGGCGAAAGCGUGAUAAAGCAAUGCCGCGUGAGUGAUGAAGGCCUUAGGGUUGUAAAGCUCUGUUAACCGGGAGGAUAAUGACAGUACCGGGAGAAUAAGCUCCGGCUAACUCCGUG
RNAcentral lists this ribosomal RNA (433 nucleotides) under uncultured bacterium. RNAcentral describes it as "partial 16S ribosomal RNA". It matches the Rfam family "Bacterial small subunit ribosomal RNA", at positions 29 to 507 of the family's 1533-position model. The record is from RNAcentral.